AAUUCCCAAAAAAUAAUAAAAUAAAUAAAUAAAUAACAAUGGCUCACAAUUCUUGGCAGUCCUUAAACUCAUGCACUCUCCAGCUCCAUUCAUGGAGACCCUUUCUCGAUUCCGAUCCCACCACCAGCUAUAAACCCCACGCCUCUUCGUCCACUCUCACUAAACGCCCUUGCCUUUCCGAUAGCUCCACUUCUUUCCCUUCCAACGUCGAUUCCAUCGACCUUUCCAAGCUCACUCUCCUUGAAGAUGACCAUAACAACACCAACAAUAAACCCGUCCCCGCUGUUACCAGCAGACCCUACAAGCGAGGCACCUUACGCCUUAUCAAGCGCAAGAGGCGGCGGAGAGGAUCCCGUUCUAUGUCCGGCCGGAGCUCCGACAGAAGUGGGACCCGGCGGUGCUGCUCGGUUGGCGCGGCGUCUGCGGCUCAUGGGACUUGCUCGGAUUUCCAUGUGGCGGUGGGGACGGACUCGAGUGGGGAGCUGUUUGUGAAUGGGGACGCGAAUUGGGCGUCCGAUGUCAAUCAAGCAAAGAAUUCGGUAAAAGAAAGGGAGGAGAAAGAGAAUUUGUUGGGAGUGGGUAAUGUUAUUGGGAAUUUGGAUAGUGAGUCUGGAUAUGGGAGUGAGCCUGGGUAUAGAGGGGAUGCUGAGUUUGGUUACGGAGAUGAGGUUGAUGAGGAAGAGGAUGAUGCCAGGUUGUUGUUUUGGGGACACCACUUUCAAGAUUCUAAGAUGGAAAUGGUUGGAGAGAACACAUUUGAUUCAAAAACCCAUCACAGAUGUCGUCGCAAGAAGCAUGAUUGUAGUAGAAUGGUUCAUCCUGUGAGAUAACUUUCCCGGUUGCUGGUAAAUAGGAGGAGGAAGCGACCUUCUUUUACUUAAGAAAUACAUUUAUGUCUUGCAGCCCUCUGCUUUCAAUUCCUCCUCUUUUUGUGACAUGUUUUAGAGUCUCACAAGAUUUUGUUAUUUUAAAAUGAAGGAAUUCUCAAGUAGUUUUUCAGCAAUUUUCAAUGCGAAGAAAAGCACCCUUUGAUUGCAUGAGGGCAGAAAUUGAAAUCACAGAUGGUAAAUGUCUUAUAAGGGGUUAAGCGGUAUUUCUGCGCGAGGAAUACCGUACGGGGAUAUCAUUACGGUCUUUCUCAGAAGAAGUAAGUUGUUCAUGUGGUUUUUUUCGUUUAUAUUGUUGGAAUUAUCUCUAUUAAUGGUUUUAUUGUAUAGUGAGGUAAAAUAUACUGAUUUUAUUAUUCCAACAAAA
This is an RNA transcript of Populus nigra (black poplar), 1254 nucleotides long. RefSeq lists it as uncharacterized. The record is from RefSeq and is a predicted model, not a curated record. The transcript is spliced from 3 exons. NCBI's taxonomy places the organism in Eukaryota, Viridiplantae, Streptophyta, Magnoliopsida, Malpighiales, Salicaceae.